CGAACUCCCAACUCUUGAGCCACGAUCGCCCUGUCUGCUGUAGUUGCCAUGGUAGCAGAUAUAGGGGGAACAAGUGUAGACGAUGCUACAAGAAGGAUGAUGAAAUUCCUCAUAUCACCUGAGCUGGCCAUGGAGUACAACUUGCUUGGUCGACAUGGGGAAAAAAAAGUUCUGAGAUUUGCGCCUCUUUAAUGUUGUGUAUGAGGCACUGAAGAAGAAUUCUUUGACAGCAAAAGUCAACCUGCAAGAAACAGAGAAAGCUCUCUGCAAAUGGUUCACUGGAGCUAGAGACAGAGGAGGACUGAGGGCUGCAAGGGAACAAAAUAGACUAACGGCUCUGUAAAAAAACAUAACAGACACCCCUGCUGAUUCAAGACAAGGUUCUGAGUUUCCCUUCUUAUUUUUUCCCAUGUUGCUACAGUUCCAACUCUAAGCAAUUUGAAUGUAGUUUGACAUUUCUAGUUUAUUAAGUUCACACUCCUUGGUAUACAGUUACUUAAACCCACAGUUGUUGGACAAAAUAAAUGUGAACAAAAUGUGUUUUGUGUCCCCUCUUGAUGUUUCUGUUUGCAGUCAGCUUUAAUAUAUUUAGUGUCUUUGUGUCACAGAAGCCGUAUUGGCCGUCUGUUAAAUUGAUUUUGUGGCUGUUUUUCUACAUGGGACCCACCCAGUGCCAGAAAUUAGCCAAUUCAAACAAGAAGUAAGAUGCAACUACAGAACCCACUGAUAAUGCCAUUCCAAAUUUUUAGCUCAUGUUUUCCUCAUGUUGUACCCACUAAGAACUUGAAAAAUGGGGCCUAGGUGGGUUUCUGUGUACUUUGCCCAGUUGGGGCCCAUUUAGUUCCC
Oreochromis niloticus (Nile tilapia) is the source of this 846-nucleotide long non-coding RNA. RefSeq lists it as uncharacterized. The transcript is spliced from 3 exons. NCBI's taxonomy places the organism in Eukaryota, Metazoa, Chordata, Actinopteri, Cichliformes, Cichlidae. The record is from RefSeq and is a predicted model, not a curated record.